RNAcentral lists this ribosomal RNA (467 nucleotides) under uncultured delta proteobacterium. Its description in RNAcentral is "partial 16S ribosomal RNA". The record is from RNAcentral. Lineage: Bacteria; Deltaproteobacteria.
GACUACUGGGGUAUCUAAGCCUGUUUGCUACCCACGCUUUCGCGUCUCAGCGUCAGAAUCCGUCCAGAUCGGCGCCUUCGCCACCGGUGUUCCUCCCAAUAUCUACGAAUUUCACCUCUACACUGGGAAUUCCCCGAUCCCCUCCGGACCUCGAGACCCAUGGUUUCGGGCGCACUUCCUGGGUUAAGCCCAGGGCUUUCACACCCGACUUCUGGAUCCGCCUACACGCGCUUUACGCCCAGUAAUUCCGAACAACGCUAGCACCCUCCGUAUUACCGCGGCUGCUGGCACGGAGUUAGCCGGUGCUUCCUCUGGAGGUACCGUCAAACCGACAGGGUAUUGUUCCUGCCGGGUGUUCGCUCCUCCUGACAGAGCUUUACGACCCGAAGGCCUUCAUCACUCACGCGGCGUUGCUGCGUCAAGCUUUCGCCCAUUGCGCAAUAUUCCCCACUGCAGCCACCCGUAGG